AUUGAACGCUGGCGGCAGGCCUAACACAUGCAAGUCGAGCGGAUGAAGGGAGCUUGCUCCUGGAUUCAGCGGCGGACGGGUGAGUAAUGCCUAGGAAUCUGCCUGGUAGUGGGGGAUAACGUCCGGAAACGGGCGCUAAUACCGCAUACGUCCUGAGGGAGAAAGUGGGGGAUCUUCGGACCUCACGCUAUCAGAUGAGCCUAGGUCGGAUUAGCUAGUUGGUGGGGUAAAGGCCUACCAAGGCGACGAUCCGUAACUGGUCUGAGAGGAUGAUCAGUCACACUGGAACUGAGAAAAGGUCCCGACUCCUACGGGAGGCAGCAGUGGGGAAUAUUGGAAAAUGGGCGAAAGCCUGAUCCAGCCAUGCCGCGUGUGUGAAGAAGGUCUUCGGAUUGUAAAGCACUUUAAGUUGGGAGGAAGGGCAGUAAGUUAAUACCUUGCUGUUUUGACGUUACCAACAGAAUAAGCACCGGCUAACUUCGUG
RNAcentral lists this ribosomal RNA (484 nucleotides) under uncultured bacterium. RNAcentral's name for it is "partial 16S ribosomal RNA". It matches the Rfam family "Bacterial small subunit ribosomal RNA", at positions 30 to 507 of the family's 1533-position model. The record is from RNAcentral.